This 1236-nucleotide long non-coding RNA is filed under the name Equus asinus (donkey). RNAcentral describes it as "lncRNA (ENSEASG00005037240.1)". Lineage: Eukaryota; Metazoa; Chordata; Mammalia; Perissodactyla; Equidae. The record is from RNAcentral.
UACAGAUGUUGCAAAGGUCUUUCCUAAGAUGUGUCCUCUUUCCUAAGGUGUGUCCACUUAAAGCACAUCCACUGCUCAGUUCUCUCUAAAUUGCAUGGGAGUGUGUGUACAUUUCCUUCAUCCUGCAUCUGAGCUCAGGCAGUACUGUACCUUAGGAAGGCUGCGGUAGAGACAGCUGAGCUAAAGCCACAAGCGUCUCUUCUAACUCCCCUCAGUUGGGUACACUUGACAUUUUCUCACCUUCUGUGCCAACAUGAAAUCCCACAGAGAGAGUGUGAGAAUGAGGUUGAGAGUGUUGCGGGAAGGAAACUGACAAGCACUCAGCCGUGGAGACACUGCCGCCAGCAGCGUGGUGAGAGGUCACAGCAGCUCCCCGGUCUCCUCAGCUGCCGGGGCUGUCCAGGCCCUCAGUGGGUACUGUAUUAAGUAUGAAGGAGAGCCUCAUGAAUGUUUGACAUAGAACACAAAGGAAGCCCAGGAGUGAGGUGUGUGGGUGCCAAGAGGAUUGGAAGGACAAAGAAGGAAAGACCACAGAAUGCUCUGGCUACGUGACUUGACAAGUUUUCUGAAAGACAAUCCAUAAUCGUUUUGUUGAUAAGAGAUGGGGGUCUCUUCAAGCUGGCUCUAAAUGGGCCCGUGGUUACAAAGAAUGGGAGGAAAUCAACUUGCAUGCUCAAGUGGAGCAAAGCACUGGGUAAAUGUGCACACGUUGCAGGGCUCUGCUGCUCGCCGGUGGAGCCCCGAGGAGGAGAAUGAAGAUGAGCUUGCCUUCUCGAGCCACCCUAAAGCUGGGAUGGAGCCUUGCAUCGAGUUUCAUGAAGGGAAUGAUGGAGGGAAAGUACGAAGCUCAGGAAAACAGAGCAAAGUUAAGCACGUCCUCAAUCCAUGGCCCCCAAUCCUCACCAUUCUGGGCAAGGCCUUUUCUCCUUUUUUUAACUUUGUUUUAUACAUUUCCUCUUCAUCCCUGGCUCCUCCUUGCCCCAGCCCCAAUACUAAUAUGUGCUUGGACAUGUGUGUAUAUCAAUACACUUGAAAUUUUAUGAUGUUAUAUUGUCUUUGUAUGCAUUUUAAAUAUGUAUGUAUAUAUAUGUGUGUGUGUGUAUAAAAGUAGACUGUGGAAUUCAUUCUUUUUCUUCUUUUUUCACUCAGCUCUACACUUUUUCCAUGUGGUUGAGGAACAAUACUUCACAUUCACCUGUUCAUUCUCCGGUGAUGGACACAGCGAUGGUAGUGAUG